GCGGGGGCGCGAGGGACCCUCAGGGUGGUGCCCAAACCCCCAAAACCCCCAAAAUCCCCCAAAAUCUCCCAAAUCCCCGUCCUGCGGCCAUUCCUCCUCCGCGGCUGCACGGGCAGAGCCAAGAGCCUGGGCCCAGCCGGGCCCGCGGUGCCUCCCUGGCUCCCGGCCCCAAGGAAAGCGCAGGUCUGGGGCAGCGCUCCCGGCCCGGCCCCAGCGCGGGGAUCCCCCUCAGGCACCGCGGGCACCUCCGGCAGCGCCAGCAGCGACACGGGGUGCGGCCUCAUUCUCCUCUCGCGUUCAGGGCUGGAAUCAGCUGCUGGUGCCCGGGCAGAGGCCGUGCUGCCCAUUGCCCCGCCGGUGACAAGCGGAGAAAGUGACACGACAGCUUCUCUCUGUCACAGACAGAAAGCUCAUCACAGCCAUUCCUGUUUUUACCUCGGGUAUGAAAGCUGGUAUUAAUCCUAAAGAUGCAAUAGUUGCUACAGUAAGGUAGGGGGGAAAAAAGCCAAUUCAAACUCUUUUAGUGAAAUAUGGCUCAAAGAGGAAGUGGCUGCUUUGAAUCAACCCAUUUUGGUGAGGAUGGCUCAGACUGCUCACAAAAUCAAACCCAAAGGCAAAACCUGGACCAGCCGCAAGUUCCAAAGAAUGACUAAUUUCUCAUGAAGCUUUAAUGAUAGCUUUGAGCACAAAAGAACAGAAAAUUUCAGAAGUGAUUAGCAGCACUACUGAUUGUACAUAAAGUGCAGAAACUCUCUUAGCAUGAACAUUUUUCCUUCAUUUCAACACCAUGCUGAACGUGACAUCAACAUGACUGGAAGGAAAGCUGGGAUGGAGAGGCCAUGGGGCCCAUGCUGGUGAGGAGGAGGGCCUGGAGGGGAGUGCAAACUGUGCUUCCCUUGAAGGGGACAAUGAGGACCAGCAUUAGGACCUGGGAGAUGGUGAUGCCCCAGACUUCUGUAUUGGGGAGCCUCCCAGAUUUGUCUUUUUUUUUUACUGCCA
This is a non-coding RNA of Taeniopygia guttata (zebra finch), 999 nucleotides long. The record is from RefSeq and is a predicted model, not a curated record. NCBI's taxonomy places the organism in Eukaryota, Metazoa, Chordata, Aves, Passeriformes, Estrildidae.